GUCCCAGCAGCCGCGGUAAGACAGAGGUGGCAAGCGUUGUUCGGAUUUACUGGGCUUAAAGGGCGUGUAGGCGUCCCGACAAGUCAGAUGUGGAAGCCUUGGGCUUAACCCAAGAAUUGCAUUUGAAACUGUCGGGAUUGAGUCGUGCAUGGGAGGGCGGAAUUCCUGGUGUAGCGGUGAAAUGCGUAGAUAUCAGGAGGAAGGCCGGUGGUGAAGACGGCCCUCUGGGCAAUGACUGACGCUGAGGCGCGAAAGCGUGGGUAGCAAACAGGAUUAGAUACCCUGGUAGUCCACGCCCUAAACGGUGGGUACUAGGUGUGGGUGGCGAUAGUCAUCCGUGCCAAAGGUAAACCGUUAAGUACCCCGCCUGGGGAGUACGGCCGCAAGGUUGAGACUCAAAGGAAUUGACGGGGGCCCGCACAAGCGGUGGAGCAUGUGGUUUAAUUCGACGCUACGCGAAGAACCUUACCUGGGCUUGACAUGCAGGUGGUAGGAACCCGAAAGGAUAACGAUCCUGACUUCGGUCAGGAAGCCUGCACAGGUGCUGCAUGGCUGUCGUCAGCUCGUGCCGUGAGGUGUUGGGUUAAGUCCCGCAACGAGCGCAACCCCUAUCCUCUGUUGGUCUUAUAGAUCUCUCUGAGGAAACUGCCGGCGAAGAGCUGGAGGAAGGUGGGGAUGACGUCGAGUCCUCAUGGCCCUUAUGCCCAGGGCUACACACGUGCUACAAUGGUAGAUACAAAGGGUGGCCAACCCGCAAGGAGGAGCCAAUCCCAAAAAGUCUAUCCAAGUUGGGAUCGGAGUCUGCAACUCGACUCCGUGAACCUGGAAUCGCUAGUAAUCGUGGAUCAGCACGCCACGGUGAAUACGUUCCCGGGCCUUGUACACACCGCCCGUCACACCACGAAAGUCUGUUGUACCCGAAGUGGGUGAGCUAACCCCGAGCAAUCGAGGAGGCAGCCUCCGAAGGUAUGGCAGGUGAUUGGGGUGAAGUCGUAACAAGGUAACC
This 1006-nucleotide ribosomal RNA is filed under the name uncultured bacterium. Its description in RNAcentral is "bacterial SSU rRNA". It matches the Rfam family "Bacterial small subunit ribosomal RNA", at positions 505 to 1501 of the family's 1533-position model. The record is from RNAcentral.